UACGUAGGUGGCAAGCGUUGUCCGGAUUUACUGGGCGUAAAGAGCGCGCAGGCGGUCGUUCAAGUCGCGUGUGAAAGCCCCCAGCUCAACUGGGGAAGUGCCUCUGAUACUGCCGGCCUCGAGGGAGGUAGGGGCGCGCGGAACUUCCGGUGGAGCGGUGAAAUGCGUAGAUAUCAGGAGGAACACCGGUGGCGAAGGCGGAUCUCUGGGCCAUUACUGACGCUGAGGCGCGAAAGCUGGGGGAGCAAACGGG
This 253-nucleotide ribosomal RNA is filed under the name uncultured bacterium. RNAcentral describes it as "partial 16S ribosomal RNA". It matches the Rfam family "Bacterial small subunit ribosomal RNA", at positions 524 to 776 of the family's 1533-position model. The record is from RNAcentral.